Molecule: long non-coding RNA, 799 nt
Organism: Chenopodium quinoa (quinoa)
Lineage: Eukaryota; Viridiplantae; Streptophyta; Magnoliopsida; Caryophyllales; Amaranthaceae
Exons: 4
Source: RefSeq, a predicted model, not a curated record
UGGCCCCCGUUAAAUAAAAUUCCUGGUUCCGCCCCUGCAUCCACAAGAAGCGCAGCACGCACCACCAUCCCACAGCCACCGCACCACCGCAUUGGUCACUAAUGAAGAUGUCAAAGCAAGUCCUUAAAAAACUUGGAGAACGAUCCCUAGAUCUCUAAUGGUGACGCUGCUCCUCACAAGGUGUCAAUUAUCAAUUUGGAUAUUUACGAAUUUGGCACUACACCUAUAUUGAGGGGCUGAGAUUGGAAAUUGAAGGGAAGAUAAUGAAGAGUCCAAGUAUCAAUGAGUUCAUCUCUACAUUACUUCAGUGCAUUCGGAACAACAUCAAACUGUCCAACAAAACGAUGUUUGUGAUUCAAAAGCUGGUGCUGAUCUUCUUGACAUGAUUCUUUGCAAGUAGGGAAGCCUGAACCAAAACCUUCACCAACUUCAGAAAGUGGUACAUUUAUUCUCCAUACUUAAUCUGGUAAAAUUACAAGGGGCAUAGCCUCGCAAGGCUGUUGGUGCAGCUGCUGCCUCGCAGAGCAGCUGCUGCUGCUGCCUCGCAGGGCUGCUGCUGCUGCUGCCUCGCAGGGCUGCUGCUGCUGCUGCCUCGCACUAUAUGCCGACUUUGCUGCUGGUGUUCUGCUUCUGUGCUGCUCCUUAUCUGGUGUUCUGCUUCUGUGCAGCUCCUUAUCUGGUGUUCUGCUUCUGUGCUGCUCCUUAUGUGCUGCUGUUCUGCUAGUGUAAUAUUACAACAUUUAUUUUAUUUUAAUUUUUUAGACAAAAAUUGUAAUAUUACAACAUUUAUUUAUGAAAA